Molecule: long non-coding RNA, 471 nt
Organism: Xiphophorus hellerii (green swordtail)
Lineage: Eukaryota; Metazoa; Chordata; Actinopteri; Cyprinodontiformes; Poeciliidae
Exons: 4
Source: RefSeq, a predicted model, not a curated record
UGCAUUCCGGAAAUGAAGGGGGCGCUAUUUUCAUAAUCACUAGUAUAAAUACCUUAAGACGCGGAGUUAAGAGGAAAGGAAGAAGAAAGAAAGAAGUUUGAGAGGUUCUUCCACUGGUGUUCGGCUCACGAUCAACAAUGCAAAACUCACAAAGUCAACAAAAGAUCCACGUAUCUAUUUGCAACAUGAACAUAAAUACUGCUGUUCCCUUUGCUCAUACAAGCUACAGAACCAUUUAGCACAAACUGCUAUGGUUCAACAUAACGAUGCCUCUGAAUGUUCUUGAAGCUGUUCUCCAGGAGGUGAUACCAGCACAGGGAGACUCAGCUUACCUCACCUUGGCAUUGACCUGCAAGUGCUUUGAAGCCGUUGAGUCUGACCCAGUUUUCAGGAAGAAGACUCACUUUGCUUGGCUGGAUGGUGAGAUCAACUGGGGCAAAUUUUCAAAAAACAUUCACGGCAGAAAACCGG